AAAACUUUUAACAACGGAUCUCUUGGCUCCAGCAUCGAUGAAGAACGCAGCGAAACGCGAUAUGUAGUGUGAAUUGCAGAAUUCAGUGAAUCAUCGAAUCUUUGAACGCACAUGGCGCCUUCCAGUAUCCUGGGAGGCAUGCCUGUCCGAGCGUCGUUUCAACCCUCGAGCCCCAGUGGCCCGGUGUUGGGG
This 192-nucleotide ribosomal RNA is filed under the name Verticillium nubilum. Its description in RNAcentral is "5.8S ribosomal RNA". The stretch from base 3 to 156 matches the Rfam family "5.8S ribosomal RNA". From Rfam's summary of the family: 5.8S ribosomal RNA (5.8S rRNA) is a component of the large subunit of the eukaryotic ribosome. It is transcribed by RNA polymerase I as part of the 45S precursor that also contains 18S and 28S rRNA. The record is from RNAcentral. Lineage: Eukaryota; Fungi; Ascomycota; Sordariomycetes; Glomerellales; Plectosphaerellaceae.